Molecule: RNA transcript, 512 nt
Organism: Cercocebus atys (sooty mangabey)
Lineage: Eukaryota; Metazoa; Chordata; Mammalia; Primates; Cercopithecidae
Gene name: 40S ribosomal protein S23 pseudogene
Exons: 2
Source: RefSeq, a predicted model, not a curated record
AUGGUCAGCGCCGCCUGGCGGCGAAGCGCGGGUGCGCAUCACGUGAACACAGCAGGCAUCGCGCAAGCGGGGCCCUGGUUGGGGAGGCGGGCCGGGGAGAUGCCCUCCGCGUGCCGCACACAUUUGGGCACAGCCCUGAAAGCCAGCCCUUUUGGAGGUGCUUCUCAUGCAAAAGGAAUCGUCCUGGAAAAAGUAGGAGUUGAAGCCAAACAGCCAAAUUCUGCCAUUAGGAAGUGUGUCAGGGUCCAGCUGAUCAAAAAUGGCAAGAAAAUCACAGCCUCUGUACCCAACGACGUUUGCUUGAACUUUAUUGAGGAAAACGAUGAAGUUCUGGUUGCUAGAUUUGGUCGCAAAGGUCAUGCUGUUGGUGAUAUUCCUGGAGUCCGCUUUAAGAUUGUCAAAGUGGCCAAUGUGUCUCUUCUGGCCCUAUACAAAGGCAAGAAGGAAAGACCAAGAUCAUAAAUUUUAAUGGUGAACACACCGUAGUAAUAAAUUUUCAUAUGCCAAAAAAA